This 459-nucleotide ribosomal RNA is filed under the name uncultured bacterium. RNAcentral describes it as "partial 16S ribosomal RNA". It matches the Rfam family "Bacterial small subunit ribosomal RNA", at positions 338 to 795 of the family's 1533-position model. The record is from RNAcentral.
CCUACGGGUGGCUGCAGUGAGGAAUAUUGGUCAAUGGGCGGGAGACUGAACCAGCCAAGCCGCGUGAGGGAGGAAGGUACAGAGUAUCGUAAACCUCUUUUGUCGGGGAACAAAGACUGGGACGCGUCCCCGGAGGUGUGUACCCGAAGAAAAAGCAUCGGCUAACUCCGUUCCAGCCGCCGCGGUAAUACGGAGGAUGCGGGCGUUAUCCGGGUUUAUUGGGUUUAAAGGGUGCGGAGGCGGUCUGUUAAGUCAGCGGUAAAAGCCCGGGGCUCAACCCCGGCCCGCCGUUGAAACUGGGGGUCUCGAGUGGGAGAGAAGUAUGCGGAAUGCGCGGUGUAGCGGUGAAAUGCAUAGAUAUCGCGCAGAACUCCGAUUGCGAAGGCAGCAUGCCGGCUCCAGACUGACGCUGAGGCACGAAAGCGUGGGUAUCGAACAGGAUUAGAUACCCUUGUAGUC